GCGCUCGUAGCUCAGCUGGAUAGAGCGCUGCCCUCCGAAGGCAGAGGCCAGAGGUUCGAAUCCUCUCGAGCGCGCCA
Molecule: transfer RNA, 77 nt
Filed under: Planctomycetota bacterium
Lineage: Bacteria; Pseudomonadati; Planctomycetota
Description: Planctomycetes bacterium (soil metagenome) tRNA-Arg
Rfam family: tRNA
About the family: Transfer RNA (tRNA) molecules are approximately 80 nucleotides in length.
Source: RNAcentral